UUUUUAUUUUUUAGGCUAAUAUAUUUAUGGUGUGAUUUGAUAUCAUUAACAUGAAUUGUGAAAUUGCUUCCACUACACUUUCAUCAAACCUCAUGAUGUUCACCAAAAUUUGUGUGUGUAAACCAUGAGCCUCAAGUUUACUAGUUGAUAAAGUUUUGCAACAGGACAUCAAAAGUGUAUCCAUGGUUUGAUGAAGUACAUGUAGCAAGGUAAUUAUUGUAUAUGUUUAAAAUGUAUGUUUGCAUAAAAGACAAUUGUUGGGAUUGACUCAACAUCUGAUAUGUGUCUGUCUUAAUUGACAUCAACUUUCAUCUAAGGUAUAUGAUCAUUUUGAUGCUGUUUGCUAUUGUUUUUAGCACAUCAGAAGUAUUAAUUUGUGUUGCUUCCAUUUCAGAGAAUUGACACAUGCAUGUUUUCUUUUUUAUUUGAAUGGUAAUUUAAUUACAUUUACUGUACAAAAAAAGCAAUUACAAAAAAACAUCAUACUUUUUUUUUACAAUAAUUUUACAAUUAUUAAAAAAUUGCAAGUAAAAUUACAAGUAAAAUUUAUAAUUGUAAGAUUACAAUUACAAAACUUUCUAUUUUUUCUUAUACAGCUAACAUUGUUAUUGUUUGCUCCUAUAUACAAGUACAUGUAUAUGCCACUGCACAUGUAUCUAUGAUGGAAGUCCUCCCAAGAGACAUCAACACAGAGAAUUCACUGAACAUUUAAAUGGACAUGGAUGUUUGUCAAAGGUCAUGUUAGAUUGAACACCUGUAUUACCUUAUAAUUAUUAAUGAACAGUAAGUUGUUAUUAUCUGUAUUUUUUAAAGUAUAACUAAUUUGUCUUAUUGAUUAUCAAGAAUAUAUCACCAGCAAAGUAACUCAAGAAUGUGCCUAGCAUGAGUUAGUUUAAGUCUGUUUGACGUGUG
This 912-nucleotide long non-coding RNA is filed under the name Mytilus galloprovincialis (Mediterranean mussel). Lineage: Eukaryota; Metazoa; Mollusca; Bivalvia; Mytilida; Mytilidae. The record is from RNAcentral.